This 297-nucleotide ribosomal RNA is filed under the name uncultured bacterium. RNAcentral's name for it is "partial 16S ribosomal RNA". It matches the Rfam family "Bacterial small subunit ribosomal RNA", at positions 337 to 648 of the family's 1533-position model. The record is from RNAcentral.
UCCUACGGGAGGCAGCAGUGGGGAAUAUUGGGCAAUGGGCGCAAGCCUGACCCAGCAACGCCGCGUGAAGGAAGAAGGCUUUCGGGUUGUAAACUUCUUUUAUCAGGGACGAAGCAAGUGACGGUACCUGAUGAAUAAGCCACGGCUAACUACGUGCCAGCAGCCGCGGUAAUACGUAGGUGGCAAGCGUUAUCCGGAUUUAUUGGGUGUAAAGGGCGUGUAGGCGGGAUUGCCAGUCAGAUGGGAAAACCACGGGGUCAACCUGUGGCCUGCAUUUGAAACUGUAGUUCUUGAGGG